AUUGAACGCUGGCGGCAUGCUUGACACAUGCAAGUCGAACGGCAGCGCGGGCUUCGGCCUGGCGGCGAGUGGCGAACGGGUGAGUAAUGCAUCGGAACGUGUCUGUUAGAGGGGGAUAGCCCGGCGAAAGCCGGAUUAAUACCGCAUAUUUUCUACGGAGGAAAGCGGGGGACCUUAGGGCCUCGCGCUAACAGGGCGGCCGAUGUCAGAUUAGCUAGUUGGUAGGGUAAGAGCCUACCAAGGCUGUGAUCUGUAGCUGGUCUGAGAGGAUGACCAGCCACACUGGGACUGAGACACGGCCCAGACUCCUACGGGAGGCAG
Molecule: ribosomal RNA, 321 nt
Filed under: uncultured Pseudomonadota bacterium
Lineage: Bacteria; Pseudomonadati; Pseudomonadota
Description: bacterial SSU rRNA
Rfam family: Bacterial small subunit ribosomal RNA
Source: RNAcentral